UGCAUGUUUCUUUUUGUUCCUCAG
RNAcentral lists this non-coding RNA (24 nucleotides) under Cricetulus griseus (Chinese hamster). The record is from RNAcentral. Lineage: Eukaryota; Metazoa; Chordata; Mammalia; Rodentia; Cricetidae.